AUGUGCAUUCAUACAAUUUCUUUUUUAAUUUUAUACUUACUAACACAUGUUUUAAUCGUUGCAAUUUCCUUCAUUUUAAUUUUUAUACCGCUUAUGCUCCUAACGAGUUUGUUUACUGUGAAGGUUUCUGAAAAUCGUUUCAAGUAUUUAUUCCCGCAUAGCGCGUCCACAAUUCCUACACUUCUCCCUUUUACCUUUUUAUUGUAUUUUACUAUUCUGAUUUAA
Non-coding RNA from Vicia faba (fava bean), 225 nucleotides. NCBI's taxonomy places the organism in Eukaryota, Viridiplantae, Streptophyta, Magnoliopsida, Fabales, Fabaceae. The record is from the annotation of a GenBank genome assembly.